CCUCUCCCCCUCCCCCCUCCAUAACUCAAAAGCCUGUCAAGCUGGUUCCAGACUCCUGGCGCCGGGCUCCGCUCCAGGAAAGAAAAAAAGGAAAGAGAAAAAGGGAAAAAGCCGGCGCGAGGGAGCGAGAGAGGCCCGCGGAGCAAAACCGUGCGCCCCGGCACGCACAGCCCCGCGGCCCCCGACCCCCCACGCCCCUAACCCUAACGGGGAUCCCAGUCCUAGGGACACCGGGCGCGUGCGCGACCCCAAUCAGUUAUUUAUGGGCGAAUUAAUUAUGUAGCUGCCAUGGGCGGGGGGGCCGGCAGGGGCCAUGCGACGCGGAGACCACCCGGCCGCGGUGGCGGCUCUCCUGCCGGGCCUCGGGGUCGGGAGGCGUCCCCACGCCGCCCGGGGAGGAUCCCGUUGUGAGAAAGCUGCCUCGGGGUGGGGUCCGGGAGGAGCGCGGGGGAACCUGAGGAAGCGGGAGAGACGGCUCGGAGACCUCCCAAUUAGACUGGGAGGGGAGAGGGGGGCGGGCGACGGAGCUGGAAAGAGCGGGCCGCGGAGACCGGGGCGUGGGAAGAGCCUGGCCUAGGCAUUUCUUCCCUUCCUUCCUUCCUUCAUCCCCAUCCUUACUGCGAGCCCACUACGUGCCACUGCGCCCACAGCAGAGGGCGGUAUUAGGGAGGGGUUAGGAGCAGGAAGGAAUUUCGAGGUACAGCUGGGUCCAAAUCCGGAUUUGUAUCCUAUACUCCCCUGCUGUGUGGCCUUAGGCAACGGCUUGCCCUCUCGGAGCCUCCACUUCCUCAUCUGCCAGUGGUCUUCAGGACUUGGGAGAUGGGGCGCUUGGGCAGAGAGUUUGUGGGGGCGCGGUCGAAGGGAGGUCCUGUCCUUGGGAAACUUUACAUAGAGGGGAACAUGCCCAGUCCCCCAGUAUUCCCCAUCUCGAAGCCCCGACUUUGGGUCUCAUAUAAUCUGCCUCUCCCCGGGGCCCACACAUUUGAAGGUCGUUAUUAAAACCACACCACCCCCAAGGCCACUGCUCAGGACGCUCACCCCUAGCUGGCUUCUCACCAGCCUGGCCCUGCAGAAGGUCGUGCAUAUGGCAGCCAGAGGGGCUCAAUCUAGUCCUUUUACUCCCCACCUCCGCUGCCUCCCCCGACUCUGCCCUUCACAUCCCCACCUGGGUUCUCCUUCCAACCUGCUUCUAGUCUGGGCUAGGGAGAUUGGAGCCCUGAGGCCAUGGGGGCUACGGGGCAGUGAGAACAGGGGUGGGGGCUCAGCUGGCCCUCCCUGGACAAGUGUCCCCCUUAUCUGGAGUGUCAAGGCGUUCUACUUCCAAGACUCAGAAGUGAAGGAGGCUUCCGUUUGCGACCCAGGAUUGCCUAGGGGUUUGCCUGUCUUCUUUCACCAAAACUUGCAAUAACUCUGUUAGGUGAAUGGGGCAGAUCCAGGUUUUAUGGGGCCUGAAGGUUUUACAAUCCUGGGGACCCACUUGAAGAAGAAUAGUGCAAAGUUAUGAAUAGGCGGUUAAGCUCAGGGCCUUGGUAAAUGACAGUCCCAGGAGCUAAAGCUUCAUUAGCCCCUCGGUAACUCACCUCUGUAGAUGGACAACACAACUGUCAUCCCUUUGCAGAGGUGGAAACAAAGCUUAGGCUGGCCCAAGGUCACAACAGGUAGAAAGGACAAGCUGGGAUCAAACCCAGGUCCCACCCCACAGGCAGCACCCUGAACUAACUGCCUCAGUAGGAAUGCCACCUUCCAUAUCAUCUACCCCAUGCCACAUCUCACCUGUCCCCACCAGUGCCCAGCCCAGGCAGGGUCAGUCAGAACAGCCUUUGCUUCCAGAACAGUCUGUGUCCCUCCCUCCAGAGGCCUCCAUGUCCCAAGGCUCAAGCCUCAGAGAUACUGUCUUGUGACAACACUCACAGAUCUAAGAUGAGGACACUGAGGCUCAGAGGGCUGACAUGCCAAGCCCCAGGGCACAGGAAGGCAGGCCUCUGCUUCCACCUCACAUCCCCCAGUGCCUCUGGAAACCGCAGCCUGUGGAGGGCCUGAGGUCGCUUAUCACCUGUCUCUGCAGCUCAUCCUCAGCAAAGACUGAGGGUCCUUGAUGCUGUCCGGGUCCUUGAUGCUGUCCCCAUCUUUAUGCCAGGUCUCAUCUCAGAGGCAGGCUCAGGAAGGGAGCUGGGAGAUGCCGGCAGAGGGCCCAGGAGAGGCACACUGCCCACCAGCUAGGAGCUGCUUCUGACCUCGCUGGCCGAUGGCCGGGGACCCUGGCCCCUCCCAACCCCAGGGACACAAAGCAGAAGAUCCCAGAAUGGGGAUGGGGAGAGAGGACCAUCUUGUUCAACUUCCUCAUUCUAUACCAGGAAAACAGGCAUCGGAGAAGGGAAGAGAUACCUCAAGGUCAACGCCAAGUCCAGCAGCUGCUGCUCUCCUGAGUCCUCCACGUGGACUUCUUCUGCGUUCCCACAUCUCAUUCCUCCAAUUUUUUUUUAAAAAUUGUUAGUAGUAGCAUAAUACUAAGAAAGCACUAUUCAAAGGAACAAGAAGACCCACCGUGUGCGGAACGGUCACUGUGCACCAGGCAACGUGACCCGCAAUUUUCUCUCCUAUAAAACGGGGAUGAGAACAGGGCCUCCCCUGCUGACUCAUGGGAAGAGGUUAAGAUCAAAGGUGACAGUGGACAUGAAUCAGCAUUUUAUAAACCACAAGACAUUGUCACCAUGGCUAUCUUUGGUUUUUAUUAUUUAUUUUUUAAUUUUUUAAUUUUUAUUUUUUGAGAGCAGGGUCUCACUCUGUUACCCAGGCUGCAGUGCAGUGGUGCAAUCAUGGCUCUCUGCAGGCUCAAAUCCUGGGCUCAAGCAAUCCUCCACUCAGCCUCCUGAGUAGGUGGGACUAUAGGUGUGUGCCACCUUGCUAUUAAAUUACCUGGCUAUGGCCGGGCACAGUGGCUCACACCUGUAAUCCCAACACUUUGGGAGGCUGAGGCGGGUGGAUCACUUGAGGUCAGGAGUUCAAGACCAGCCUGGCCAACCCCGUCUCUACUGAAAAUACAAAAAUUAGCUGGGCAUGGUGGCACAUGCCUGUAAUCUCAGCUGCUAGAGAGGCUGAGACACAAGAAUUGCUUGAACUUGGGAGGCAGAGGUUGCAGUGGGUCGAGAUUGCCCCACUGCACUCCAGCCUGGGUGACAGAGCGGGACCCUGUCUCCAAAA
RNAcentral lists this long non-coding RNA (3201 nucleotides) under Homo sapiens (human). RNAcentral describes it as "HSALNT0155963". The record is from RNAcentral. Lineage: Eukaryota; Metazoa; Chordata; Mammalia; Primates; Hominidae.